This is a long non-coding RNA of Homo sapiens (human), 1880 nucleotides long. Ensembl annotates it as MIR22 host gene. Its record names the gene MIR22HG. NCBI's taxonomy places the organism in Eukaryota, Metazoa, Chordata, Mammalia, Primates, Hominidae. The record is from Ensembl.
GGUGUGUGCUGGGUGCCGAGAAGAGACAGCGCCGCCGGCCGUGGGGAGCGGACGCAGUGAUUUGCUCCCCCUCGUGCAGCAACCCCCACACCCAGCACCAGGCCCCCAGAACUCUCCUUCCAGCUGAACUCCCUGGGAACAAGUCAGUUGGGCUGAUCACUGAACUCACAUUUCUGGACCUGAGGAGCCUGUUCCUCUCACGCCCUCACCUGGCUGAGCCGCAGUAGUUCUUCAGUGGCAAGCUUUAUGUCCUGACCCAGCUAAAGCUGCCAGUUGAAGAACUGUUGCCCUCUGCCCCUGGCUUCGAGGAGGAGGAGGAGCUGCUUUCCCCAUCAUCUGGAAGGUGGUAUGUGAUCCCCAGCUCAGGCCUGUGCAGACAGGAAAUUCUCCCCUGCAGCAAGUAGGGGAGGUGGGUUGUGGGAUGUGACCUCCUUCCAGAUAUCAGGCAGUGAGUGUAAACCUGCCACCUCCAGCCCUGAUCCAUUCUCACCUAGCGGCUACAGGAAGCUGUGUCUGUUCGAUUUGGUGGGAGGAGAUGUGCAGGGAGCUGUAUCUUGUCCUCCGCUUGUGAAAAACUCAAGGAUGUGGAGAAGAGUAGACCGUGGAACCCUGCUCUUCUGCAGCCAAGCUGAGGGGCAGGAUGCGUGUGGGACAGUGGUAGAGAAGCAGGGGAUAGACUCAUAGGCUGCAACAAAGGUGACUCUGUCCCUGGACACUGCCUCCGUACUUUCUCCUUGCUUCACUGGCCACAGCAUCUCCCUCCAGCCCUCGCUAUGUGCCUCUGCCAUCUUCACCCAUCAUGGAGCAGAGGUGAGGAGAGGCAGCCUGGGAAUAUGGAGACCAGUGAAGGACCAGGCCUGGAGAGCACAGGGUCCUACCUGGGCAUCCAGCAGAGGAGCCCCUAAAGGCCAGGAGCACCCCAAGAGGAGGGAGGGCAGCCAGCCUCCAUUGACGGCGAGCCUCCAGCCCUCUCCUACUUUGAUCACCAUUUCUCUCCAGGCUUUCUGCCUCCGAGAUGUGGCACCAUAGUGCGGUGCCCUGUGGCUUCACCGCCCUACUUCCACCUCCGCCCAGCCUGUAAUGUUUAUAUAAGCAGCCUCAAGGACCAAGAACCAUCUGCGAAAGGACACACACAGGAAAUUCAUAAAAGAAAUCUGAAUGGAUAAAACCAUGAAAAAAAGUAUGCUUCAUUAGUAAUUAAAGAAAGGCAAAUAGAGCUGGAAGCAUUUUUCCCUUAGCAAACCAUAACAGAAAAAAAUAAGACCCAAUAUUGGCAAAGAGACUACUGAAAAAACAUUCCCAUACAUUGCGUGUGGGAGUAUACAUCGGUGCAGGCUUCCUGGAUGACAGUUGGGUGAUAUGUGUCAUGUGGCCUAAAAGCCUCCAUGUCAUUUGACCUACGAAUUCUAUCUUUGGGAAUUUAUCCUAAGAAAAUACUUAAGGAUUUAGUUAGUGAUAAGAUGUUCAUCCCAGCAUUGCAAUGGAGAAAAAUGGGAAGCAAUGGUUUGGUUGGGAAUUUAUUCCUUUUCUGCUGUAACGAAAGUUUGCAAUAGGGGAUUGCUUAAGUAAAUUAUUGUAUCUCCAUCCAGAUGGUGGAGUACCGCGCAGACAUUAAAAGUCAUGUAAAAGAACAUCUGACUGAAAGAAAAAUGCUCCUUGAAUAUUAAAAGGUUGUAAAAAUAGUGCAUGUUAUGUGAUUUCAAUUUUGUUUUUUAAAAUAUGGGUGUAUGCUUGUAUACGUAGAGCAGAUAAAAAAGACGGAAGGCAUACUAAAAAAUGUUGAGUGGUUAUCUUUGUAUGGUGGAACAAAGUCACUGUAAUUUUCAUCUUUGGUUUUUCUGUAAUUUCCAAAUUUUCCACAUUUUGUAUUUCAUAUAAUA